Molecule: long non-coding RNA, 2128 nt
Organism: Passer domesticus (house sparrow)
Lineage: Eukaryota; Metazoa; Chordata; Aves; Passeriformes; Passeridae
Exons: 3
Source: RefSeq, a predicted model, not a curated record
CUUCUCCGCGGCGCUCCGCUGUGCUCGGACCUGCUGCUUCCUCCCAGGAGAAAAACCAAACCAAACGAGUCCCGACGGCCGGCCCGGGGCGACUUGGGUGCUGCUGCCAGCCCCCAGCAGUGGAGCAGGUAACCUCCCUUCGCAACCCCUCCUGCGCUUGGAUUUCGUUGUCUUUUUCCCCCGUGAAAAGCGCUCAGAAGUGGCUCCAACUCAGCGCCGGCAAGAGCCAGGGGCUGUGUCCGAAACCAAGCCCGUCGGUUUGGUUACUUUGCAUCUUGGUGAGACCGCCUAGGUAAGAAAAUCCUGGGAAAAGGGUUUUUUCUUUUCUCCAGGAGAAAGGGAAAUGGUCUGCAGAGCUCAGGGCUGCCCAGAGUGUGGGCGAAGGACGCAGGACAAGGAUGGCACUUUGGAGAUGGACAGGGAAAAUACAGGUUUCUUUAUCACUGCAGACAGUAUGAAGCCGAAGGAAGACACCAGUUUCAGAAUUCCCUACUGGAAUUCUGGAACCUACUGGGUUUCAGGAAAACCUCUUCAGUUCUCCAGGGCGAGUUGGCUGGGCAGAACUGCAGCCUCUCAUCCUCAGUGUAUGCCGCUACCAGGGCUGAGGGGCUGCUUGAGCAGCACCAAAAACCUGUGAGCUUCCACACUGUGCUCACCCAUUGCUCCUGAGAGUCACCUCCAAGCCAAAUGCCUGCCCAAGGAGCCCCUGGCCCAGAGCAGGGAAGGAAGCCACUGCUUAAGGGUGGACUGGAGAAGCCAGGGGAACUUUUAUAACAGCUCCCAGCCUUAGGCAGAGCCAUGUGUCCAUGUCCUGGGGACACAGAUGGAAAAGUACCAUGAAUGCAGUGGCAGAUCCCUUCAUACAUCCUGCUGGAGUAAAACGAAGUCUUUAACUUAGCAACUUGCAUGAAAGUAUUCACAAGAGCAGAGCACAGUGAAAGUUUUGUUCCUCAGAGGCAAGCAGGUGAGCUUGACUGGGUCCUAUCAUUCUCCUACCUUCCUUUUUUGAACUAAAAAGCCAUCCAGCCUUUUGGAGAAGAGUGUUUGCUAGUGGUUUUUAAUUCACUGUCCAGGUUAUCUCCCACCAUGGUUCAUUCCCCUUCUUGUGCCUGCGUGUGGUUUUGUUUGUGCUUUAUUUUUCCUGCAGAUGUUUGUGGCUCUUCUUCCACUCUCCAAGGCUCAGGCAGGGAAUCGUGAGUCCAGUUCUGAUCUGACACAGACCGGUGCUGUUUCAGCUAAUUUACUCAGUUUCCACUCUGCCAAAUGAGGAUAACAGGAAUAUUGGUGCUGGCUGGAGGACAGAGAGCAGGUGAAAAAGGGUGAAGGGUGCAUUUCUCCAGACACAGAUCUUCAGGGAGGAAAGCAAAUGAAAGGCAUGGCCGGGACCAUUCAUUCACCUUAUGAGAGCCAAGGGAAAAAGAAUGGAAAAUUCAUACUUCUCCUGAGGUGCACAUUUAAAUUAAGCAAGUAUCUGAAUGGAGGUGGUUAAUUUCAGCCAGAGGAUCUGACAUUUCCACUCGCUGGAGAGGGCAGAUAUCAAAGAAGGGAGUCACUAAAGAUCACUCCAGACUGCACAAAGAAAAUUACCCACCAACGGAAGAUGGAAACUUUCAGCAUUGUCAACAUUAGCUGGGUGCUCUUUGGCCCAGACAGAUUAUUAAAAAGUGGAAGACAAUAAUGAAAGUGGCUACCAAACAAACGUGAUCCGGACCUCUCUUUAAAAUGAGGUGAUGAGAAGGAAAUAAAUCAUUUACUACGCAGCACCAAGGAGAGCCACAUAAGAGCUCAGCACAUUUCCAUGGAGUCAUGAUGGCUUGGGAGUGUGUGAGAAAUCAUCUCCUGGGACACUUCCCUCAAGGGGUGCCACUCUCAGGGGAGGAACAUCUGAUGGAAGAGAGCAAACAGCAGACCUGGAGGAUCCACUGUGUGGCUUGUGACCACAGCACACGUCCAGGAGUGGGGCCACCAUGCUGCUCAGGACCAGCAGCCACACAAAAACCAGCCCAGGACACCAGGCAACAGCUGGCGUCAAAGGAGCCACGAAAUAAACACCCUUCCUGAGCUAUUCCACUUCUUCAAGAUGCAGGAAACUGAUAACCAAAGCAAAUAAAUUCUUCCUGAGAACUAA